Molecule: transfer RNA, 65 nt
Filed under: Onthophagus punctatus
Lineage: Eukaryota; Metazoa; Arthropoda; Insecta; Coleoptera; Scarabaeidae
Description: tRNA-Leu
Source: RNAcentral
UCUAAUAUGGCAGAUUAGUGCAAUGAAUUUAAGCUUCAUAUAUAAAGUUAAAACUUUUUUUAGAA